RNAcentral lists this long non-coding RNA (1128 nucleotides) under Homo sapiens (human). Its description in RNAcentral is "HSALNT0326393". The record is from RNAcentral. Lineage: Eukaryota; Metazoa; Chordata; Mammalia; Primates; Hominidae.
UUAGACACUGCAAUGAGAAGCAAGAGCUCAUUUGAUUUCAGUAAGGUCCCAGCUGACUUCACGGUAAAUAUCAAGAGUCUGACUCAAAUGACAAGACCAGACUUUGCCCUUCCUCCUCUCAGCCUACUCAACGUGAAUAUAAUGAGGAUGAAGACCUUUGUAAUGACCUUUUCCCACAUAAUGAAUAGCCAUUGGGAGACACACUUCUGAACACCACCACUGGAAAAUCACACAUGCUGAAAUGGGAGAGUUCCCUGACCCCCUUGCAGGAUAUGUGACAGGAGUGUGGCUCAUCUGUUCAGCUGGAGUGCAUACUCAAACCCCUUAUGAGACAAGGAGUAUGCAGACAGAAGGUGCAGGAACUGGGAAGCAAAAUAUAAACUAGUUAAUUUGAUCUCCAAGAGUUAAGCGGUUUUAAUAUUACUGACAGUAAUAUCAGCAGUGGUGUUGGAACCCCAUGAUCUCAUGAAUCAUAGAUAGCAACUGCUUACUGGACAUUGAAGCUUUAUGGCCAGCUGCCAAAAAAAUAAAUGCACCUUAAUUUUUAAAUUGAAUUAUAAAGCCAAAAAUAUCCUAUUGCUCUAUUCCUCUUAUUUUGGUGUUUACAUGUGACUUUAUAAUUUCCUUCACUUGAAAGAUUUUAACUUUAAAGGAAACUUUACUCUGAACGUUUAGGACAAUUCAUAGAUAAUCAAAUUGAUUAUCAUGUUUUCAAUGUUAAAUAUUACUUCAUAUGUCUUUUUACAACCUUCAGAAUAAGAAAGCCAGCUAUGAAAUACCAAGUCUUGACUAGUAGUGCCACCUAGCAUCACAAAGAAAAAGUUGUUCAACUACUUUGCAAAGCAUUGGAAAUUUAUCAAAUCAUCUAAUAUACUAUCUCCUUGAUCCUUAAUCCAGAGGAAAAUAAGCAGACAUGAUCAAUUAGAAGAAAUGUACACAAAACCUAUGUAAUUUUAGAGAUAGUAUACUACAUAUUAUGAAUGUUUGUGUUUUAGUAAGAUGUAGUUAUGAGAUGUAGCAGUAAGAUAUAAUUUCUGGUUUGCUGACUGAUAUGCUACCGGUUUUUCCUACAAUUUAAGAAAACAUAUUGGGAUUCAAAUGAAUAAAAAUAAUGUUUGUGUACUGAAA